UCCCUGGUGGCUCAGAGGUUAAAGCGUCUGCCUCCAAUGCAGGAGACCCAGGUUCAGUCCCUAGGUUGGGAA
This is a non-coding RNA of Bos taurus (domestic cattle), 72 nucleotides long. The record is from Rfam. Lineage: Eukaryota; Metazoa; Chordata; Mammalia; Artiodactyla; Bovidae.